AAAACUUUGUAUUGAUUAUAAGUUAGCUUAGGUAAAACUUCUAGCAUGGUAAUAAUAGUAUCUAAGAAAACAUAACUAAAAGAAAACUUUUUAACCCAGCAAGAAACAUUAAACUAUAUUAGAAAUAAUAAUUUAAUUUAGCCUAAAUAAGUUGGACCAAUAUAGGUGCCAGCAGUCGCGGUCAUACCUAACAGCUUAGUUAACUCUACUAGGCUAGCUUAAAAAAAUAAUUCUUUAUAAAUAGGUGAAAUUAUUAUAAGAAUAAAUUUUAUUUUUUUAACUUUUAGCUUAAGCUCUAAAGAUAAACUAGGAUUAGAUACCCUACUAUAUAGAGUAUAAAUUAUCAAGCCUAAGCACUAAGACUUUAAAGUUAAAACUUAAACUACAUGGCGGCAGUUAGAAAUUUCAGGGGAACUUGCCAAGUAAAUGAUAAUCCCCAAAAAACUCUACUUUUGUUCAAAGUUUGUAUAUCGCCGUCUUCAGCAUUCAUUUAAGAUGAAUCCAAAAUGUUAAGAACAAAAAGACAGGUAAAGAUGCAACCUAUAUAAAAGUUUAGGUGAGUUACAAUAUUGAUUUUAUUUUGGAAUUGUUUUGAAAUAAAACAAAAAAACUGGACUUGAAAGUAAAAUAUAAAAAAAAUAUUAACUGAAUUUUUAAUUUAACUGUGUACAAAUCGCCCGUCGCUUUCGUUGAAAAAUGAAAUAAGUCGUAACACAGUAGGUGUACCGGAAGGUGUACCU
Molecule: non-coding RNA, 740 nt
Filed under: Cadlina koreana
Lineage: Eukaryota; Metazoa; Mollusca; Gastropoda; Nudibranchia; Chromodorididae
Source: RNAcentral